Molecule: non-coding RNA, 386 nt
Organism: Cinara cedri
Lineage: Eukaryota; Metazoa; Arthropoda; Insecta; Hemiptera; Aphididae
Source: the annotation of a GenBank genome assembly
UAUUUAUAAACUGUAGCACAGAGGCAUACCAAUAAUUUUUAAAAAAAAUCUAUCAAAAAUAUUGACUAGAACAAAAUGUAUUUCAUCGGGAGACACUCUGUAUAAUAUACAGUAUAUAUUAUAUACAUAUAUUAUACUUAAAGGACCAUGAAAGGAAAAAAUUAAAAAUCGUUUUAUAUUUAAAAAAUAUAGUACUCAAUGUUAAAAAAAAAAUGGUGCAAACUAAAAAUAUUUUUUCUAAACAUUUCGUUGGAGAUAUACAGGCAUUUGCAGUAGACGUGUGACAUUAUAUAAUCUAUUCUCGUGGCAUUUAUACAAAUAAAUAUUACGUCUUCAACUUUAUCUACCCAUUAUUAUGAGCAUAAUAUUCAAUAUACCGAGUUGGG